Molecule: ribosomal RNA, 505 nt
Filed under: uncultured bacterium
Lineage: Bacteria
Description: partial 16S ribosomal RNA
Rfam family: Bacterial small subunit ribosomal RNA
Source: RNAcentral
GACGAACGCUGGCGGCGUGCCUAAUACAUGCAAGUAGAACGCACAGUUUAUACCGUAGCUUGCUACACCAUAGACUGUGAGUUGCGAACGGGUGAGUAACGCGUAGGUAACCUGCCUGGUAGCGGGGGGUAACUAUUGGAAACGAUAGCUAAUACCGCAUCAUAUUGAUUAUUGCAUGAUAAUUGAUUGAAAGCUGCUAUUGCAUCACUACCAGCUGGACCUGCGUUGUAUUAGCUAGUAGGUGAGGUAACGGCUCACCUAGGCGACGGUACAUAGCCGACCUGAGAGGGUGAUCGGCCACACUGGGACUGAGACACGGCCCAGACUCCUACGGGAGGCAGCAGUAGGGAAUCUUCGGAAAUGGACGAAAGUCUGACCGAGCAACGCCGCGUGAGUGAAGAAGGUUUUCGGAUCGUAAAGCUCUGUUGUAAGAGAAGAACGGGUGGGAGAGUGGAAAGUUCACACUGUGACGGUAUCUUACCAGAAAGGGACGGCUAACUACGUG